Molecule: ribosomal RNA, 442 nt
Filed under: uncultured bacterium
Lineage: Bacteria
Description: partial 16S ribosomal RNA
Rfam family: Bacterial small subunit ribosomal RNA
Source: RNAcentral
CCUACGGGAGGCAGCAGUGGGGAAUACUUGGCAAUGGGCGCAAGCCUGACCCAGCAACGCCGCGUGAAGGAAGAAGGCUUUCGGGUUGUAAACUUCUUUUGUCAGGGAAGAGUAGAAGACGGUACCUGACGAAUAAGCCACGGCUAACUACGUGCCAGCAGCCGCGGUAAUACGUAGGUGGCAAGCGAUGUCCGGAUUUACUGGGUGUAAAGGGCGUGUAGCCGGGUUGACAAGUCAGAUGUGAAAUCCUGCGGCUUAACCGGAGAACUGCAUUUGAAACUGUUGAUCUUGAGUACUGGAGGGGCAGACGGAAUUCCUGGUGUAGCGGUGAAAUGCGUAGAUAUUAGGAGGAACACCAGUGGCGAAGGCGGUCUGCUGGACAGCAACUGACGGUGAGGCGCGAAAGCGUGGGGAGCAAACAGGAUUAGAUACCCUUGUAGUC